GGAGAGAUGGCCGAGCGGUUCAUGGCUCCAGUCUUGAAAACUGGCAUAGUGUUUCAUUACUAUCGAGGGUUCGAAUCCCUCUCUCUCCC
RNAcentral lists this transfer RNA (89 nucleotides) under Botrychium strictum. RNAcentral's name for it is "Botrypus strictus tRNA-Ser". It matches the Rfam family "tRNA". From Rfam's summary of the family: Transfer RNA (tRNA) molecules are approximately 80 nucleotides in length. Their secondary structure includes four short double-helical elements and three loops (D, anti-codon, and T loops). The record is from RNAcentral. RNAcentral also lists the same sequence under 1 other name. Lineage: Eukaryota; Viridiplantae; Streptophyta; Polypodiopsida; Ophioglossales; Ophioglossaceae.